Molecule: ribosomal RNA, 1125 nt
Filed under: Triticum aestivum (bread wheat)
Lineage: Eukaryota; Viridiplantae; Streptophyta; Magnoliopsida; Poales; Poaceae
Description: partial small subunit ribosomal RNA
Source: RNAcentral
AUGUCGUUGAUAAAUGCUGACAAAUGUUCAGCAUAUCGGCCUGACAACAAGGGGUCCUUUCCUAUACACAUAGCAAACAAGGCUUGUGUAGUUCGUGUGUUGUUGGAGAAGUGCCCCGACUGCGCUGAACUAAGGGACGCCCAGGGCAGAACCUUCCUCCAUCUUGUCAUCUGUGACAAAAAAGACACUCUAUUUCGUUAUAUUUUUGGUCUUUUUCGUGCGAGCCAUCAAGUGUGGAGGUUUGCAUCGAUCAUGGAUAAGCAGGACAAUGAAGGUAACACAGGGUUACACCUUGCUGUCCUGGCUGGAAGAGUACGUACUUUACAUUGCUUACUGUGGAACAAGGAAAUCCAGCUGAAUUUACCAAAUAACAAUGGGCAAACUGCAUUAGAUCUUGCACUGAGCAAGAAACCCACUGGUGUUCAUUUUGGGGUGGAUUCGGGGUAUCAGAUAUACACUCUGCUAGCGGCUGCUGGUGCUAAAUAUGGUGCUCACCUUAAAGAACACGGUCCUCAACUAAAUGAGAAGGAGGAAGCAGAGAAAAUCAACGGUUACAUACCGACCAUUGGCAUUGCUGCAGCACUCCUCAUAACGGUUUCAUUCACAUCCGCUUUCUCUGUACCAGGUGGGUACCGAGCCGGUGAUGAUCAACAUAAAGCUGGGACUCCGGUGCUUGCCCAGAACUACUUUUUUUUGGGGUUCAUCAUGGCCAACAAUCUAGCAUUGCUUUGCUCUGGCCUUUCCCUUGUCAGCCUCAUGUACGCCGGACUGACCAUCAUCGACCUCAGAAUACGUGCGAAAGCAUUUAUCCUCUCCAUCAUGGGCCUCAACAGCGCAGUCCGGAGCCUGACAGCCGCAUUUUCAGUUGGCAUAUAUGCAGUGUUGGCUCCGAUUGACCGUACAUAUGUUGUUGUUACGAUGGCGUUUAGCAGUGUCAUGCUGCUUGACAUUGGUUGGUUUGUGUACAUGGCAACUGCGGCGCAAUUGGUGCAUUUUAAUAGGCUUGGUACCAGAGCAUGCUUGCGGUUUGCGUUUACAAUGGUAGCCACCCUUAUGGUGUCUCUCUGGCCAUACGCAUUAACUAUCAUUUUCUUGAUAUAUUCUAGAAUCUACGGAGUCCACUAA